GGAAAAUUUUGGGAUAUUGGAAUUAUCAGGCCCGGAUUAUAUGUUUUGUUUUUGAUACACUCAAGAAAGUAAAAGCAUAUAGUAAAUAUCAUAAAGUUAUAUAAUGUUAAUAAGUAAAAUUUGAAAUAAAUUGCUAGAAAUAAAAAAUGCAAUAAUUAAAAUUAGAAAUUGCUUUCAACAUCAGGUUAGAUUCAGCUAAAGAAAAAGUUUGUGAACUGGAAGUAAAGUAAAAGUAAAGAUUUAAAAUGCCACUUAUACAAAAAGAAGUUAUGUGUAAAAUAAGUGUUUAAAGAUGAAGAAAAUAUAGUGGACAAUAUAGCAUACUUUUUAAAUUGGAGGUUUAGGGGGUGGGAAAUUUUUUUCUUUUAGAUCACAUGGUAAAUGUCUUAGAUGUAUUGGGCCAUAAAGUCUUUACUGGAAAUACUCAAUUCUGCUAUUGUAAUGUUUCUGAAAGCAGUCAUGGAUAAAAGUUUAAACCAGUGAGUCUGGUUAUGUUUUACUAAGACUUCAUUUACAAAAAGGCAACAGCUAUAUUUGACCACCAGCCAUAAUUUGUUAACUGC
Molecule: long non-coding RNA, 563 nt
Filed under: Marmota monax (woodchuck)
Lineage: Eukaryota; Metazoa; Chordata; Mammalia; Rodentia; Sciuridae
Source: RNAcentral